AUGAAGUCUGACUCACAUGGAGCUGCUUUUAUUUCAUUCCUGGAGCUGAAACAGUUUUGAGGCAGGCUGCACUCACAGCUCAGUCUUUUGCCUACAUUGACCCCAAGGCAUUCAUUCACUGGGAGAAGAUGUACGCUGAUGGUGCGUCCACAUGCACAGACAGUUCACCACUGAGGGAAUGUCACACUGACUCUGCGGAGCUGAAGAAGAAAGACGUCCUUCAUCAGACACUCGACCUGGAACAAUAAAGUUUCAUACAGGAGCAGCUGCUGUCAGACACCCUGAACAGUUUGAACACAGAACACAGCAG
Molecule: long non-coding RNA, 310 nt
Organism: Colossoma macropomum (tambaqui)
Lineage: Eukaryota; Metazoa; Chordata; Actinopteri; Characiformes; Serrasalmidae
Exons: 3
Source: RefSeq, a predicted model, not a curated record